GGAGAAGGCAAAGUGCAGAGGAAGGAGGAGCCACUGCUAGUGGGUACGAGGUUUCUUCUUGGUACAAGGACUUCUACGUUCUGUCCUCCUGCAGCCAUCUAAAAUCAGCCAGAAAGGUUUAGGAUCCCAUUUCCUGUUCUUGCAUCGGCUGUCCAAGCUGCUGUUCCUCUCUCCGCAGUAAGAGGGUGUUUCUCUCCCUGUUCAAGAGGAGCACCAACACUUGAGGACAGUAUCAUCCCUAGACCUUGGCAAGAGAGACCACUGAGUGAGGCAUCCAUGGAACCCAAGGAAGAGGCCUACGAAGAACCUGCAGUCACCUUCUAGACCAUUCUCCCUCACCAAACUGUCCCCUCCAGAGAGCUGAGGACUGGAUCUUCCCAUGCUGACACCUCCAGUGGGAAAGAAAAUUCUAGAUUCAGCUCUGGGUGUCCAAGUCAUUAUGAAGGCAUAUUUGUCAAGGUGGAAGAAAAGGACAUAUUCUAUUUAGCAGUUUAAUAUUACUCCUAUCAUGGUUUAAGUAUAGGACUGACACACCACCUCAAAGCAUGUCAGGAAUUGAAAGCAUCUUCUUUUUUAUAUUUGAUACAAAAUGUAUCCUGGUCUUGCUGUCUGCUGCUGGCCCCGUGCUAGUUUAGAGGACAACUUCUCUUCACUGAGGACAACACAGAAUCCUGGAGAUAUUUUUGAUGAGUAGUAAAGAAGUAAUGCAUGACUCUGAUUUGCGGCUGCAGGAUAAAUCCGAACUAUUUCAGGGAGAUGUCAUGGAGAGCUCAUCUCUCAGCAUCAAAGUUGCCUCUCCUGACUUUUGAAUUUUAAGUGUUCUGUGUGGAAGAAAAAUGGAGACAACAAAUUUCUAUGCAUGGAUUCAAAGAAUCCUCGUAAUAUACAGACUACAUUCUCCCCAGCUUUUUAUCUCUAUAUAUUCUUUUUGUUGAGUUUCAACCACAUAGGGUUGAAAUUCACCUUCCCACAUUACAUUUUUCAUCAAUAGUUGAAGACCUAUGUAUGUAAAUAUCAGGAACUAUCAGAACUCCCUGCAACAGGAAACCUGACCCCCAACUCCCCCGAAAUGCAUCAUGAUAAACAGUCACUUGCCAAAAUAACAAAUCAGCUUCCUGGAACAUGCUUGCUCAAAACCAGGAGAGGAGCUUAGAGACGUCAGCUUGACUUCUGCCUCGUACGCAGGAAGGGUGACCUUCAAAGAUCAAACAUCGUCCCAAAUCUCCCUUCAUCUUGUAGUACUCCUGCUUGUCGUAGCUCCUGUUACCAUCAGAGACAGAAUGUGCUAUAACCUUCUGGAAACUUCUACUAUUUUCCUGCAACCUGACUACCCCUUAGGUGAGGGAGUCCAGAAUGCUGGCUUGAAAUGGGAGAGAGAAAGAACUGCCACAUAAUUUGCAAGAUCUUUUUUGAAAAAGAAAAGGUAUUAAGAAUUCCAGGACAGCAUUAGGAAUGUAUUAAACCAGAAUAAGGAACAGCGGAGCUUCCCCCUAAGACCCUGGUGUGUUUCUGCAUCAGGAAACCUUCUCUCCUGCAAUGUGUCGUUUAAGAUUGAACAACAUGGUGCCUUUGCCAGAAGUUAACAGGAAACCCAAAAGGAGAUGAGCCAGACUGGUUAGUUCAGAAGAGAAUCGUUGGGGAAGACAAUGGGAGCUGCUGUUUGAAUGUGGCCCUGAGAUUAUUUGUGCUUUUCAAUCCCAUGUUACCAAAACACAUUUCAAGCUGGCCUAUAAAUCACACCUUGUGC
Molecule: long non-coding RNA, 1747 nt
Organism: Homo sapiens (human)
Lineage: Eukaryota; Metazoa; Chordata; Mammalia; Primates; Hominidae
Source: Ensembl